AAGUCGUAACAAGGUUUCCGUAGGUGAACCUGCGGAAGGAUCAUUAGUGAAUCUAGGACGUCCAACUUAACUUGGAGUCCGAACUCUCACUUUCUAACCCUGUGCAUCUGUUAAUUGGAAUAGUAGCUCUUCGGAGUGAACCACCAUUCACUUAUAAAACACAAAGUCUAUGAAUGUAUACAAAUUUAUAACAAAACAAAGCUUUCAACAACGGAUCUCUUGGCUCUCG
Molecule: unclassified non-coding RNA, 229 nt
Filed under: Rhodotorula babjevae
Lineage: Eukaryota; Fungi; Basidiomycota; Microbotryomycetes; Sporidiobolales; Sporidiobolaceae
Description: partial internal transcribed spacer region
Rfam family: Eukaryotic small subunit ribosomal RNA (bases 1-46)
Source: RNAcentral